UACGAAGGGGGCUAGCGUUGUUCGGAAUUACUGGGCGUAAAGCGCGUGUAGGCGGUUAUCCAAGUCGGGUGUGAAAGCCUUGAGCUCAACUCAAGAAAUGCAUUCGGUACUGGGUGACUAGAGGACCGGAGAGGAUAGUGGAAUUCCCAGUGUAGUGGUGAAAUACGUAGAGAUUGGGAAGAACACCAGUGGCGAAGGCGGCUAUCUGGCGGUUUCUGACGCUAAGACGCGAAAGCGUGGGGAGCAAACAGG
Molecule: ribosomal RNA, 252 nt
Filed under: uncultured bacterium
Lineage: Bacteria
Description: partial 16S ribosomal RNA
Rfam family: Bacterial small subunit ribosomal RNA
Source: RNAcentral